CAAUAGCGUAUAUUAAAGUUGUUGCAGUUAAAAAGCUCGUAGUUGGAUUUCUGGUAGGAGUGACCGUUCCGAACUUGAUUGUUCGUGUAUUGUGUUUUCUCCAGCCAUCCUUGUGGAGAACUUUUCUUGCAUUAAUUUGUAGGGAUUGGGACCCGCCUCGUUUACUGUGAAAAAAUUAGAGUGUUUAAAGCAGGCAAUCGCUUGAAUACAUUAGCAUGGAAUAAUAAGAUAGGACUUUGGUACUAUUUUGUUGGUUUGCAUACCAAAUUAAUGAUCAACAGGAACAGUUUGAGGAUAUUCGUAUGAACAUGUCAGAGGUGAAAUUCUUGGAUUUUGAUCAGACGAACUACUGCGAAAGCAUUUAUCAAGGAUGUUUUCAUUAA
Molecule: ribosomal RNA, 383 nt
Filed under: uncultured eukaryote
Lineage: Eukaryota
Description: partial 18S ribosomal RNA
Rfam family: Eukaryotic small subunit ribosomal RNA
Source: RNAcentral